Molecule: transfer RNA, 73 nt
Filed under: Loxodonta africana (African savanna elephant)
Lineage: Eukaryota; Metazoa; Chordata; Mammalia; Proboscidea; Elephantidae
Rfam family: tRNA
About the family: Transfer RNA (tRNA) molecules are approximately 80 nucleotides in length. Their secondary structure includes four short double-helical elements and three loops (D, anti-codon, and T loops).
Source: Rfam by way of RNAcentral
UCCUGGGUGGUGGAUAUGGUUAAGCACUUGGCUACUAACCUAAAGGUUGGUGGUUCAAAUCCACCCUGAAGAA